This 1720-nucleotide ribosomal RNA is filed under the name Forsteropsalis nigra. RNAcentral's name for it is "eukaryotic LSU rRNA". It matches the Rfam family "Eukaryotic large subunit ribosomal RNA", at positions 107 to 1765 of the family's 3401-position model. The record is from RNAcentral. Lineage: Eukaryota; Metazoa; Arthropoda; Arachnida; Opiliones; Neopilionidae.
GCCCAGCACCGAAGCGCCCGUCCCAACGGGGCGGGAGGGCAAUGUGGUGUUUAGGAAUAGCGCGACCGAAGGUUGAUCUAAGCGCAAGUCCUCCUGACUGAGGCUCUCGCCCAUUGAGGGUGCAAGGCCCGUGGUCGCUUAUGAUCUCCGGCGGAAGCAAAAUUCCUUGGAGUCGGGUUGCUUGAGAGUGCAGCCCUAAGUGGGUGGUAAACUCCAUCUAAGGCUAAAUACGACCACGAAACCGAUAGCGAACAAGUACCGUGAGGGAAAGUUGAAAAGAACUUUGAAGAGAGAGUUCAAGAGUGCGUGAAACCGUUUAGAGGUAAACGGGUGGGCCCUCGAAGGUGAUCGUCGGAGGGAUUCAGUCGGACGUGACCGUAAGCGUCGUUCGUCUCUAACGGUGCGGACCUCGGUCGGCCGGGCGGGCGAAGGCUGCGGGCCGUUUGGCGCAUUUCCUUCCGUUCGAACUACGCUGCGACCAGUCUGGUCACUGAAAGUUGUCGUCCUUGAAAACGGGCGAUGGAAGGUGGCCGGCGGCGUCUCUCGGGAUGCCGUCGGUGUUUAUAGCCGGUUCGUUUCACGAGUGAGCGUUCAUCAGACUGGGGACGAUUCUAGCCCUGUGCGGGCUACGCCGAGCACUCCGUUUGGAGCGUUGCGGGACGACUGGAUGCGCCUGCGGUCGGUGGUUUCACCUUUGUGUGGGCUAACGCCGUAGGUCUCCGUAAGCUCGUUCUUGACCCGUCUUGAAACACGGACCAAGGAGUCUAACAUGUGCGCGAGUCAUUGGGUCUUGAAUAGGCCCAAAGGCGUAAUGAAAGUGAAGGGCGGUUCGGCCGUCUGCCUUGGGAUCCCGUGAACCUCGCGUUCGCGGGCGCACCAAGGGCCCGUCCCGGUCGCCUCGUCGACGGGGCGGAGCAAGAGCGUACACGUUGGGACCCGAAAGAUGGUGAACUAUGCCUGGGCAGGACGAAGCCAGAGGAAACUCUGGUGGAGGUCCGCAGCGAUUCUGACGUGCAAAUCGGCGAGUGCCAAGUGGGCCACUUUUGGUAAGCAGAAUUGGCGCUGUGGGAUGAACCAAACGCCGGGUUAAGGGGCCCGAUGCGAGACGCUCAUGAGAUCCCAUGAAAGGUGUUGGUUGCUAUAGACAGCAGGACGGUGGCCAUGGAAGUCGGAAUCCGCUAAGGAGUGUGUAACAACUCACCUGCCGAAGCAACUAGCCCUGAAAAUGGAUGGCGCUUCAGCGUCGACCCCAUACCCGGCCGCCGCGGCCGAAAAGCCUCGUGUUUUAAGCCGCGGUGAGUAGGAGGGGCGCGGAGGCGAGCGUCGAAGGUGCCGGGCGUAAGCCCGCCUGGAGCCGCCUCCGGCGCAGAUCUUGGUGGUAGUAGCAAAUACUCAAGUGAGAACCUUGAGGACUGAGGUGGAGAAGGGUUCCAUGUGAACAGCAGUUGAACAUGGGUCAGUCGGUCCUAAGGGAUAGGAGAAAUCCGUUCCGAGGCGGGACCUAAUUUAUUAUGAAAGUCCCGCUGAUGACCGAAAGGGAAUCGGGUUAAUAUUCCCGAACCCGGACGCGGAGAUCGUCCUCUUCGGAGGUACAUUGCGGUAACGCAAACGAGCUCGGAGACGUCGACGGGAGCACCGGGAAGAGUUAUCUUUUCUUUGUAAGGAUUCGACUCCCUGGAAUCGGCUCGCCCGGAGAUAGGGAUGGUGUUUCCGUAAAGCA